This 629-nucleotide ribosomal RNA is filed under the name uncultured Lachnospiraceae bacterium. RNAcentral describes it as "bacterial SSU rRNA". It matches the Rfam family "Bacterial small subunit ribosomal RNA", at positions 75 to 720 of the family's 1533-position model. Lineage: Bacteria; Bacillati; Bacillota; Clostridia; Lachnospirales; Lachnospiraceae. The record is from RNAcentral.
GGAUUGAAGCCUUGGUGACUGAGCGGCGGACGGGUGAGUAACGCGUGGGUAACCUGCCUCAUACAGGGGGAUAACAGUUGGAAACGGCUGCUAAUACCGCAUAAGCGCACAGUACCGCAUGGUACGGUGUGAAAAACUCCGGUGGUAUGAGAUGGACCCGCGUCUGAUUAGGUAGUUGGUGGGGUAACGGCCUACCAAGCCGACGAUCAGUAGCCGACCUGAGAGGGUGACCGGCCACAUUGGGACUGAGACACGGCCCAAACUCCUACGGGAGGCAGCAGUGGGGAAUAUUGCACAAUGGGGGAAACCCUGAUGCAGCGACGCCGCGUGAGCGAUGAAGUAUUUCGGUAUGUAAAGCUCUAUCAGCAGGGAAGAAAAUGACGGUACCUGACUAAGAAGCCCCGGCUAACUACGUGCCAGCAGCCGCGGUAAUACGUAGGGGGCAAGCGUUAUCCGGAUUUACUGGGUGUAAAGGGAGCGUAGACGGCAUGGCAAGCCAGAUGUGAAAGCCCGGGGCUCAACCCCGGGACUGCAUUUGGAACUGUCAGGCUAGAGUGUCGGAGAGGAAAGCGGAAUUCCUAGUGUAGCGGUGAAAUGCGUAGAUAUUAGGAGGAACACCAGUGGCGAAG